CAGAAGUGCGAAUGCUGACAUAAGUAACGAUAAAGCGGGUGAAAAGCCCGCUCGCCGGAAGACCAAGGGUUCCUGUCCAACGUUAAUCGGGGCAGGGUGAGUCGACCCCUAAGGCGAGGCCGAAAGGCGUAGUCGAUGGGAAACGGGUUAAUAUUCCCGUACUUGGUGUUACUGCGAAGGGGGGACGGAGAAGGCUAUGUUGGCCGGGCGACGGUUGUCCCGGUUUAAGCGUGUAGGUGUGUGUUCCAGGUAAAUCCGGUUCACUUUAACACUGAGGCGUGACGACGAGGCACUACGGUGCUGAAGCAACAAAUGCCCUGCUUCCAGGAAAAGCCUCUAAGCAUCAGGUAACAUCAAAUCGUACCCCAAACCGACACAGGUGGUCAGGUAGAGAAUACCAAGGCGCUUGAGAGAACUCGGGUGAAGGAACUAGGCAAAAUGGUGCCGUAACUUCGGGAGAAGGCACGCUGACACGUAGGUGAAGUGAUUUACUCAUGGAGCUGAAGUCAGUCGAAGAUACCAGCUGGCUGCAACUGUUUAUUAAAAACACAGCACUGUGCAAACACGAAAGUGGACGUAUACGGUGUGACGCCUGCCCGGUGCCGGAAGGUUAAUUGAUGGGGUCAGCGCAAGCGAAGCUCCUGAUCGAAGCCCCGGUAAACGGCGGCCGUAACUAUAACGGUCCUAAGGUAGCGAAAUUCCUUGUCGGGUAAGUUCCGACCUGCACGAAUGGCGUAAUGAUGGCCAGGCUGUCUCCACCCGAGACUCAGUGAAAUUGAACUCGCUGUGAAGAUGCAGUGUACCCGCGGCAAGACGGAAAGACCCCGUGAACCUUUACUAUAGCUUGACACUGAACAUUGAGCCUUGAUGUGUAGGAUAGGUGGGAGGCUUUGAAGUGUGGACGCCAGUCUGCAUGGAGCCGACCUUGAAAUACCACCCUUUAAUGUUUGAUGUUCUAACGUGGACCCGUAAUCCGGGUUGCGGACAGUGUCUGGUGGGUAGUUUGACUGGGGCGGUCUCCUCCUAAAGAGUAACGGAGGAGCACGAAGGUUGGCUAAUCCUGGUCGGACAUCAGGAGGUUAGUGCAAUGGCAUAAGCCAGCUUGACUGCGAGCGUGACGGCGCGAGCAGGUGCGAAAGCAGGUCAUAGUGAUCCGGUGGUUCUGAAUGGAAGGGCCAUCGCUCAACGGAUAAAAGGUACUCCGGGGAUAACAGGCUGAUACCGCCCAAGAGUUCAUAUCGACGGCGGUGUUUGGCACCUCGAUGUCGGCUCAUCACAUCCUGGGGCUGAAGUAGGUCCCAAGGGUAUGGCUGUUCGCCAUUUAAAGUGGUACGCGAGCUGGGUUUAGAACGUCGUGAGACAGUUCGGUCCCUAUCUGCCGUGGGCGCUGGAGAACUGAGGGGGGCUGCUCCUAGUACGAGAGGACCGGAGUGGACGCAUCACUGGUGUUCGGGUUGUCAUGCCAAUGGCACUGCCCGGUAGCUAAAUGCGGAAGAGAUAAGUGCUGAAAGCAUCUAAGCACGAAACUUGCCCCGAGAUGAGUUCUCCCUGAGACUUAGAGUCUCCUGAAGGAACGUUGAAGACGACGACGUUGAUAGGCCGGGUGUGUAAGCGCAGCGAUGCGUUGAGCUAACCGGUACUAAUGAACCGUGAGGCUUAACCUUACA
This 1667-nucleotide ribosomal RNA is filed under the name Salmonella enterica subsp. enterica serovar Typhimurium. RNAcentral describes it as "partial 23S ribosomal RNA". It matches the Rfam family "Bacterial large subunit ribosomal RNA", at positions 1283 to 2925 of the family's 2925-position model. The record is from RNAcentral. Lineage: Bacteria; Pseudomonadati; Pseudomonadota; Gammaproteobacteria; Enterobacterales; Enterobacteriaceae.